AGAGUUUGAUCAUGGCUCAGAUUGAACGCUGGCGGCAGGCCUAACACAUGCAAGUCGAACGGUAACAGGAAGCAGCUUGCUGCUUCGCUGACGAGUGGCGGACGGGUGAGUAAUGUCUGGGAAGCUGCCUGAUGGAGGGGGAUAACUACUGGAAACGGUAGCUAAUACCGCAUAAUGUCGCAAGACCAAAGAGGGGGACCUUCGGGCCUCUUGCCAUCGGAUGUGCCCAGAUGGGAUUAGCUUGUUGGUGGGGUAACGGCUCACCAAGGCGACGAUCCCUAGCUGGUCUGAGAGGAUGACCAGCCACACUGGAACUGAGACACGGUCCAGACUCCUACGGGAGGCAGCAGUGGGGAAUAUUGCACAAUGGGCGCAAGCCUGAUGCAGCCAUGCCGCGUGUAUGAAGAAGGCCUUCGGGUUGUAAAGUACUUUCAGCGGGGAGGAAGGGAGUAAAGUUAAUACCUUUGCUCAUUGACGUUACCCGCAGAAGAAGCACCGGCUAACUCCGUGCCAGCAGCCGCGGUAAUACGGAGGGUGCAAGCGUUAAUCGGAAUUACUGGGCGUAAAGCGCACGCAGGCGGUUUGUUAAGUCAGAUGUGAAAUCCCCGGGCUCAACCUGGGAACUGCAUCUGAUACUGGCAAGCUUGAGUCUCGUAGAGGGGGGUAGAAUUCCAGGUGUAGCGGUGAAAUGCGUAGAGAUCUGGAGGAAUACCGGUGGCGAAGGCGGCCCCCUGGACGAAGACUGACGCUCAGGUGCGAAAGCGUGGGGAGCAAACAGGAUUAGAUACCCUGGUAGUCCACGCCGUAAACGAUGUCGACUUGGAGGUUGUGCCCUUGAGGCGUGGCUUCCGGAGCUAACGCGUUAAGUCGACCGCCUGGGGAGUACGGCCGCAAGGUUAAAACUCAAAUGAAUUGACGGGGGCCCGCACAAGCGGUGGAGCAUGUGGUUUAAUUCGAUGCAACGCGAAGAACCUUACCUGGUCUUGACAUCCACGGAAGUUUUCAGAGAUGAGAAUGUGCCUUCGGGAACCGUGAGACAGGUGCUGCAUGGCUGUCGUCAGCUCGUGUUGUGAAAUGUUGGGUUAAGUCCCGCAACGAGCGCAACCCUUAUCCUUUGUUGCCAGCGGUCCGGCCGGGAACUCAAAGGAGACUGCCAGUGAUAAACUGGAGGAAGGUGGGGAUGACGUCAAGUCAUCAUGGCCCUUACGACCAGGGCUACACACGUGCUACAAUGGCGCAUACAAAGAGAAGCGACCUCGCGAGAGCAAGCGGAUCUCAUAAAGUGCGUCGUAGUCCGGAUUGGAGUCUGCAACUCGACUCCAUGAAGUCGGAAUCGCUAGUAAUCGUGGAUCAGAAUGCCACGGUGAAUACGUUCCCGGGCCUUGUACACACCGCCCGUCACACCAUGGGAGUGGGUUGCAAAAGAAGUAGGUAGCUUAACCUUCGGGAGGGCGCUUACCACUUUGUGAUUCAUGACUGGGGUGAAGUCGUAACAAGGUA
This 1500-nucleotide ribosomal RNA is filed under the name metagenome. RNAcentral's name for it is "bacterial SSU rRNA". It matches the Rfam family "Bacterial small subunit ribosomal RNA". The record is from RNAcentral.